This 414-nucleotide long non-coding RNA is filed under the name Theobroma cacao (cacao). Its description in RNAcentral is "long non-coding RNA (TCAC_LNC002000)". The record is from RNAcentral. Lineage: Eukaryota; Viridiplantae; Streptophyta; Magnoliopsida; Malvales; Malvaceae.
AUAAGAGAAUAAAAGAAAAUAUAGAAAAACUCAAGAAUUGUGUUCUUGAUCUCCAAAUCUCCUUGAAUCCUGCAAAUUCUUCUUAGCUUCAAUCACUCUGUGGCUUGACUCUCAAAUGUUAAUAUGGUAUUUCUUUUUUCUUUUUCUUUUUCCUCUGAAAGAUUGUUUUUAUAAGCUUUAGUUAGGUCAAGUUGGGUGUAGAAAGAAGUCAAUUUCAGCUAGGAUUUUCUCAUCAGACUAUGUGAGUCGUAGCUUUGCCCAAUUAAUUAAUAGAAAUCGUAAUUGCUCUAGGACUGCAGCAGUAUGUAAAUUUCAAUAAGAUUUUUGACCACAUUUCAUGCCGAACUGGGUAAAGUUAUAAACAUAAAAGUUGUAUAUUUUUCUCCUAUCUUUCUAAUGGUCCAAGAAUUGCUU